RNAcentral lists this long non-coding RNA (551 nucleotides) under Rhinopithecus bieti (black snub-nosed monkey). Its description in RNAcentral is "lncRNA (ENSRBIG00000046508.1)". The record is from RNAcentral. Lineage: Eukaryota; Metazoa; Chordata; Mammalia; Primates; Cercopithecidae.
CAUAAUCACUGUCUGGAAACAGAAAAAGAUUGCUGACCUCUGACCUGGAGAAUAUGGUAGUUAUGAAAGUCAUACAAUCCACUCUAUGAUAUGAUAACUUUAAAAACUCCAGUAGGUUUUCCUUUUUUUAACUAAAACAUAGUUGUAAAGAUCCCAUAUGUGUAGAAUAGGUGGGUCACUCUGGAGUUCUUUGUUUGCCUCCUAGCUCUUCAGCAGAUGAGAGGCACCCUCCAGGUAGUGAGCACACAGAGGAAAGGCUCUGCAACCAGGAAACUACCUUAAGAUGGCUGGCUGGAAAAACCGUUUCAUGGGGUUGCAAACAACAUGACGGUGAGACUCCUUCCUCCACCUCCACCUUUGACCCUAGCACAGGUGCUUCUACAGCAGCCUUUUGUAAUAAGAAAUCAUUUCCUUUGAAAAAUGAAUUAACCGGGGGGAGGAGCGGAGCAAGAUGGCCGAAUAGGAACAGCUCCAGUCUCCAACUCCCAGCACGAGCGACACAGAAGACUGGUGAUUUCUGCACUUUCAACUGAGGUACUGGGGUCAUCUCA